RNAcentral lists this ribosomal RNA (520 nucleotides) under Simplicillium lamellicola. Its description in RNAcentral is "eukaryotic LSU rRNA". The stretch from base 194 to 347 matches the Rfam family "5.8S ribosomal RNA". The record is from RNAcentral. Lineage: Eukaryota; Fungi; Ascomycota; Sordariomycetes; Hypocreales; Cordycipitaceae.
AGUUAUACAACUCCCAAACCCUAUGAAGAACCUUACCACUUACGUUGCUUCGGCGUGUGCGCGCCGGCGUCGCCUGCUCUUCUCGAGCCUGCGUCCCGGGCCAAACGCGCCCGCCGGAGAACCAUAAACUCUUGAUUUUGCGAAAGCAGUAUUCUUCUGAGUGGCCGAAAGGCAACAAAAACAAAUGAAUCAAAACUUUCAACAACGGAUCUCUUGGUUCUGGCAUCGAUGAAGAACGCAGCAAAAUGCGAUAAGUAAUGUGAAUUGCAGAAUUCAGUGAAUCAUCGAAUCUUUGAACGCACAUUGCGCCCGCCAGCAUUCUGGCGGGCAUGCCUGUUCGAGCGUCAUUUCAACCCUCGACCUCUCUUGUCUCUGACAGGACGAGGCCGGUGUUGGGGCGCGGCGGUCGAGCCUAGCUCGCGCCGGCUCCGAAAUUCAGUGGCGGCCCGUUGCGGCGACCUCUGCGUAGUAACUUACACCUCGCACUGGGACAGCAGCGCGGCCACGCCGUAAAACCCCC